Molecule: small RNA, 85 nt
Filed under: human gut metagenome
Description: GA-cis RNA
Rfam family: GA-cis RNA
Source: RNAcentral
GGAGGAACCAUUAUGAACGAAGUUCAUAAUUGUGCAUGGUUCCGACCGAUAAGCCGCCGAACGAAUGUGAGGGGGCGAUUCAUAU